This 117-nucleotide ribosomal RNA is filed under the name archaeon. The record is from RNAcentral. RNAcentral also lists the same sequence under 1 other name.
GAAGGCGACCAUACUAGGAGAGAAACACCCGGACCCAUUCCGAACCCGGAAGUUAAGUCUCUAUGGGAAUGGUUUGGCCCUGCCCUUUGCGGUGGAGCCUGCCAAAUGUUGCCUUCA